Molecule: long non-coding RNA, 444 nt
Filed under: Gouania willdenowi (blunt-snouted clingfish)
Lineage: Eukaryota; Metazoa; Chordata; Actinopteri; Blenniiformes; Gobiesocidae
Description: lncRNA (ENSGWIG00000010622.1)
Source: RNAcentral
ACAACCUGGAUUUUAAGGCCAGUUUUUAAGCAGCAUAUGAAAUGUUCUGAAGGUCAUACAGUCUGUAUGUACUGUGUUUCCUCUACUGCAAAGGGCCAGGCUGGCAUUCCUGGUACCGCUGGCAUCCCUGGCAAGAGGGGCUAUAGGGGCGAGAAAGGCGAGCCAAGCAUUGAGUCAAAAGGCAUGAAAGGAGAGCCAGGAUCAGCAGGAGAGCCAGGUCCUAAGGGGGACAAAGGUUACCAUGGAGAAAAGGGGGAAGUUGGCCCUGAAGGACCUGCAGGACCAAGAGGUCCUCCAGGCCCAACCGGAGAGCCCGGAAAAGCUGAACUUCAAAGCACAGAAAAUGUAAGACUUUUAUUCAUUGUAUCAUCUUUUUUUAGAAACAAUGUUUUCCAGUAAAGCAAAUGUAAAGUUAUUGUUUUAUUUCUUCUUCUGUUACAGGAU